AUACGUAGGGGGCGAGCGUUGUCCGGAAUGAUUGGGCGUAAAGGGCGCGUAGGCGGCCCGGUAAGUCUGGAGUGAAAGUCCUGCUUUUAAGGUGGGAAUUGCUUUGGAUACUGUCGGGCUUGAGUGCAGGAGAGGUAAGUGGAAUUCCCAGUGUAGCGGUGAAAUGCGUAGAGAUUGGGAGGAACACCAGUGGCGAAGGCGACUUACUGGACUGUAACUGACGCUGAGGCGCGAAAGUGUGGGGAGCAAACAGGAUUAGAUACCCUGGUAGUCCACACUGUAAACGAUGAAUGCUAGGUGUAGGGGGUAUCGACCCCUUCUGUGCCGCAGUUAACACAAUAAGCAUUCCGCCUGGGGAGUACGGCCGCAGGGUUGAAACUCAAAGGAAUUGGCGGGG
Molecule: ribosomal RNA, 397 nt
Filed under: uncultured bacterium
Lineage: Bacteria
Description: partial 16S ribosomal RNA
Rfam family: Bacterial small subunit ribosomal RNA
Source: RNAcentral